Molecule: long non-coding RNA, 2427 nt
Filed under: Varroa destructor (honeybee mite)
Lineage: Eukaryota; Metazoa; Arthropoda; Arachnida; Mesostigmata; Varroidae
Description: uncharacterized LOC111246986
Source: RNAcentral
UCGAAAUAAGCUCUAAUGAAGCCUAAUGGACCAUAAUUUGUUUCCUCACACAUCAUCACAAGCUAUCACCGACAUCGCAUAAUGGCCAUUCAGCUAAACGAUCGAUCUGAAGUGCAGUAGAACAAUGACAAAUAUCUACGAGAGUGACAAUAGCUUAACCCAGAGAUACAUAAGGGGCCCUACGUCUGUCGUAAGUAGAGAGAGAAUCACCGCCAACACCUGAUUCUCAGCGUCGCCUUGUUCUGAAGUCUUUCUACUGGCAACAGUUGCGAAUCUAUUGCCAGAACUUGAACUUCUGCUCGUUAGCCCAUCAACAGAUUCAUCCCUUCGGAACAAUUAAAUGAAAACAACUGCCUUUUAAAACAGAUUUAAAUUAUUUCUACGAAUUUAAAGUACUAUAUCGAACACAUUGAUGCUUUAGUUUUUUAAUGGCAUAUUAAUAGUAAAUUUUCCAUCAUGCAAAGUAAUUGUUUUAGUAGAGAGCACCAUAGGAAGGAGGCGCAUAUCUUGCUGACAAAGCAAUAGCCAACUGCAAGCUACUCUAAUUUACACGAAGCUCCCUUGGAAACGCCGACGCUGAACCACAUUGACUUGACUGAGUGCAAGUCAGGAUCCGAAGCCGCUGUAUUGCACGGGCACAAUUGAUGGCUACACGUCUCAUCAUACAAAAGUUUUGGCCGCUAUUAUGAAUAGUUGCAGUUUUUGAACCACUCAUGCGGGCGGCUACGUCCGCGUUCCCAACGUAAAAUACACCUAAUACGGGAAUAUUGACGCCAUUCUCCAAGCACGCAGCUCGUAUACUGAACGUCAUUUUUUUACGCCUGUUACGUGCCAGCGAAAAAAUGUUUAGUCACCGAGUGAUUUACUUUGACGAGACGCCGAAGUGUGACUGGUCAGUCUCAUAGCAUAUCUAUUUCGCACACAUAUGCAUAUAUAUAAUUCCAUACUGUGUGCGAAAAAACUUUGGGCAAUGGCUAAAUUUGACAAAAUAUUCUAAGAACAACGAGAGGUUUGAGGAAGAUCGAAAUCCUUCAAGUGUACAUGGGGACGUGUAAAAAUGUUUGACGUCACAAGUUAAUCUGAUUUAUCAAUUCAGGACAAGUGGGAAAUCACUCUAGCUAUUUUUUUUUGCCGAAUACGUUCACGAAUACGAAACAAGUUUGGUACGGGCAGCACUCGUCGAUAUUAUUAGAUACAGGCCUACAGAUUGUUUGUGUAACUGUGACCAAUGGCGAGGUGACACCAAAAAGUGAGCGCCAAUAAUUACUGGCGGACCUAACGUUGAUAUAGGAACCACCACUAAGAAUAGUAAUUUGGCCUCUAGGUUUAUAUUCAUUUGCGAUAUUUAUCUAUUCACAUAAUUCAGCCGGUUCAAUGAGAGCCCGCUGAGAUUUCAUCUAGAAGGUGUUUUUAUCUCCCUGCCUGAGUGAACACGACGAUGCAUUGGUACAACAUAAUUUGACUGUAGAGAACGAACGAACGAAAAAGGAAGAAUAUAGACCAGUAAUCGUCAUAGUAGCAGGUCUUUUAUGUUAAAUUAAAUUUAGCUAAAUAGUAAUAACUAGUAAAAAAAAAAGCUCGUGCAUUUUUUUUCGCCGGAAAAUUUGUUUCGUGCUUCGCACGUACAAUUGCCAGCGUCUGAUGGUCGAACAUUGAAAGCAUCUUUCGACGAUACAACGACGGUAGAUUCGAAGGUUUUAAAAGUUCUCGUUCACGAAAAACGUCAUCAUUUUUCUGAUACCCGUCACACGAACGAUACACGACGUCUGGAUAUCGACACUAACCAAUCAAAUUUUACCAGCAUUUCAUACUUGUUAGGAAAACAGAAGACCCAACAUCGCCUUGAUGCACUAUGCCUACCUACCAAAUACUGCCUUAUUUCGGAGCCUAGUUUUGCUGACGAGUAUUUAGUUAGGUAACUAAUGUAAUUAUCUAUCUUUGUCGGAAUAAACUUAGCACAGUGUCCGCCAGAGUUGUAUGGAGUCCUUAUGCAUGGCAGAGUCAACUGUACAAUGAAAAUAAAGUUGUGUUUCGGGGCGAUAUGUCAUUAUCAUACGAUCAAGAAAAACGAAGAUCAAACAGAGUCGGAUCCCAUAUGACAAGGUUUCUAUAAUCGACAGUGAUUUUCUUUGUUAUCUGUUAAGCGUGUUGUCAGAUUUUCAGGAUUGGUCACCAAGCCGUGUGUUCGAAGUCUUGUACCUUAACAAACGAAUCGGCAACAGUAUAAGUGAAAUAUUAAUGUGGAUACUCGGUUAGGUUAACCUACACGGCUAUUAAGGUUGCCUAUUCUGUUCAAGGUUGCGGUCUGCUACCCAAAAAUGGGUUUAAAAUGGAAUAUACCUUCUACAAUAAGGUAGUCACCUUCUACAAUCAAUCUCGCAGAUACCCGUUGCUCAAAUAAUGAGUUGCUUCCUAUGCAGGUGUAAC